RNAcentral lists this ribosomal RNA (969 nucleotides) under Comostola subtiliaria. RNAcentral describes it as "partial 16S rRNA". The record is from RNAcentral. Lineage: Eukaryota; Metazoa; Arthropoda; Insecta; Lepidoptera; Geometridae.
AAAGAGCUAAUUAUUUAUGAAAGUUAUUGUUGUAAAAAUAUUUUUAAUAAUUAAUUUGAAAUGAAAUGUUAAUCGUUUUUAAAUAUAUCUAGUUUUUUUAGAAAAAAAUUUAAUUUUAAAUUUAAAAAUUUUUUUUGAUUAAUUAUUAUUAAAAAAAUUUUUUAAAUUUUAUAUUUUAGGGGAUAAGCUUUAAAUUAAAUUUUUAUAGAAUUAUUUAAAUUUAAUUGAAAUUUAUAUAAUUUAAAUUGUUAAAAAAUUAUAAUUUAUUAUAAAUAAUUUCAUUAAAUAAAAAAUUUAAAUAAAAAUUAUUUAUUUAUAAAAAAAUAUUUUUUUAUAAGUUAAAAAUAUUUAUAAUGAUAAAAUUAGUAUAUUUAAAUAAUAAUUAAUAGUUAUUUUAUUUAAUAAUAUUAAAUAAAUAAAAUAAAUAAUUGAAAUUAAUUCGGCAAAUAUUUAUAUUCACUUGUUUAUCAAAAACAUGUCUUUUUGUUUUAAUUUAAAGUCUAAUCUGCCCACUGAUAAUAUAAUUAAAGGGCUGCAGUAUUUUGACUGUACAAAGGUAGCAUAAUCAUUAGUCUCUUAAUUGGUGACUUGUAUGAAAGAUUGAAUGAAAUAUAAACUGUCUCUCAUUUAAUUUAUAGAAUUUAAUUUUUUAUUUAAAAAGUUAAAAUAUUUUUAAAAAGACGAGAAGACCCUAUAGAGUUUAAUAAUUUAAUUUAUAUUAAUUUAUUUGUAAAAUUAAUAAUUUUUAUAAGUUGAAUUAUUUUGUUGGGGUGAUAAAAAAAUAAAAAAAACUUUUUUUUAAGUUUUAACAUAAAUAAUUGAUUUUUUGAUCCAAUAUUAUUGAUUAUAUGAUUAAAUUACCUUAGGGAUAACAGCGUUAUUUUUUUUUUUAGUUCAAAUAAGAAAAAAAGUUUGCGACCUCGAUGUUGGAUUAAGAUAAAAUUUAAAUGCAAAAGUUUAAAAUUUUUG